ACGAACGCUGGCGGCGUGCUUAACACAUGCAAGUCGAGCGGUAAGGCCCUUCGGGGUACACGAGCGGCGAACGGGUGAGUAACACGUGGGUGAUCUGCCUCGCACUUCGGGAUAAGCCUGGGAAACUGGGUCUAAUACCGGAUAUGACUUCUGGUCGCAUGGCUGGGGGUGGAAAGAUUUAUCGGUGCGAGAUGGGCCCGCGGCCUAUCAGCUUGUUGGUGGGGUAAUGGCCUACCAAGGCGACGACGGGUAGCCGGCCUGAGAGGGCGACCGGCCACACUGGGACUGAGACACGGCCCAGACUCCUACGGGAGGCAGCAGUGGGGAAUAUUGCACAAUGGGCGAAAGCCUGAUGCAGCGACGCCGCGUGAGGGAUGACGGCCUUCGGGUUGUAAACCUCUUUCGACAGGGACGAAGCGUAAGUGACGGUACCUGUAGAAGAAGCACCGGCCAACUACGUGCCAGCAGCC
This 470-nucleotide ribosomal RNA is filed under the name Nocardia beijingensis. RNAcentral's name for it is "bacterial SSU rRNA". It matches the Rfam family "Bacterial small subunit ribosomal RNA", at positions 29 to 516 of the family's 1533-position model. Lineage: Bacteria; Bacillati; Actinomycetota; Actinomycetes; Mycobacteriales; Nocardiaceae. The record is from RNAcentral.